GGAGGGUUUCUCUCCAGGAACAGUGUUGGAGAGCCUGUCACGAGGGACUAGGUGUGUGAGGAAGAAUCAGGCGCUGAGAGCAGAGAGUUCCACAGGAAGAGGUGCACUUUAAUAUGGCACAAAAAGCAAUGCCCACAACACAGGGACCAACCCACAACACAGGUACCAACCCACAACACAGGGGACCAACCCACAACACAGGGACCAACCCACAACACAGGGACCAACCCACAACACAGGGUACCAGGUCCAGAACACAGGGACCAACCCACAACACAGGGACCAACCCACAACACAGGGACCAACCCACAACACAGGGUACCAGGUCCAGAACACAGGGACCAACCCACAACACAGGGACCAACCCACAACACAGGGUACCAACCCACAACACAGGGACCAACCCACAACACAGGGACCAACCCACAACACAGGGACCAACCCACAACACAGGGACCAACCCACAACACAGGGACCAACCCACAACACAGGGUACCAGGUCCAGAACACAGGGACCAACCCACAACACAGGGACCAACCCACAACACAGGGACCAACCCACAACACAGGGACCAGCCCAGAACACAGGGACCAACCCACAACACAGGGACCAACCCACAACACAGGGACCAACCCACAACACAGGGACCAACCCACAACACAGGGACCAACCCACAACACAGGGACCAGCCCACAACACAGGGACCAACCCACAACACAGGGACCAACCCACAACACAGGGACCAACCCACAACACAGGGACCAACCCACAACACAGGGGACCAACCCACAACACAGGGUACCAACCCACAACACAGGGUACCAACCCACAAC
Molecule: long non-coding RNA, 834 nt
Organism: Oncorhynchus tshawytscha (Chinook salmon)
Lineage: Eukaryota; Metazoa; Chordata; Actinopteri; Salmoniformes; Salmonidae
Source: Ensembl